AUGGGGUGCAGCAGGGGCGAAACCUUUACAAUGUGCGAAAGCAUGAUAAGGGAACUCCGAGUGCCAGCAUCUAAUGUUGGCUGUCCUUGUGCCUAAAACGCACAAGAUAGCAAGGGCCGGGUAAGACCGGUGCCAGCCGCCGCGGUAACACCGGCGGCCCGAGUGGUAGCCGCUAUUAUUGGGUCUAAAGGGUCCGUAGCCGGUUCGAUAAGUCCUCUGGGAAAUCUGGUUGCUUAACAAUCAGACUGCCAAGGGAUACUGUCGAACUUGAGACCGGGAGAGGUAAGAGGUACUUCAGGGGUAGGAGUGAAAUCUUGUAAUCCCUGGGGGACCAUCUGUGGCGAAGGCGUCUUACCAGAACGGGUCUGACGGUGAGGGACGAAAGCUGGGGGCGCAAACCGGAUUAGAUACCCGGGUAGUCCCAGCCGUAAACGAUGCUCGCUAUGUGUCAGGUACGGUGUGACCGUAUCUGGUGCCGUAGGGAAGCCGUGAAGCGAGCCACCUGGGAAGUACGGCCGCAAGGCUGAAACUUAAAGGAAUUGGCGGGGGAGCACUACAACGGGUGGAGCCUGCGGUUUAAUUGGAUUCAACGCCGGAAAUCUUACCGGGGGAGACAGCAGCAUGAAGGUCAGGCUGAAGACCUUACCAGAUCCGCUGAGAGGAAGUGCAUGGCCGUCGUCAGUUCGUACUGUGAAGCAUCCUGUUAAGUCAGGCAACGAGCGAGACCCGUGCCCACAGUUGCCAGCAUGCCCUUCGGGGCGAUGGGUACUUUGUGGGGGACCGCCGCUGCUAAAGCGAGAAGGAGCGGGUUACGGUAGGUCAGUAUGCUCGAAACUCCCGGGCUACACGCGGGCUACAUUGAGGGACAAUGGGAAUCAACAUCGAAAGUGAAGCAUCUCUAAACUCAUCGAAGUUCGGAUGAUGCUGCAUCGCUCAUGAAGCUGGAAUUCGUAGUAUCGCGAUUCACACAGGCGGUGAAUACGGUCCGUUCCUGCAACUCGCCGUCAAACACUC
This 1014-nucleotide ribosomal RNA is filed under the name uncultured Methanosarcinales archaeon. Its description in RNAcentral is "bacterial SSU rRNA". It matches the Rfam family "Archaeal small subunit ribosomal RNA", at positions 325 to 1358 of the family's 1478-position model. The record is from RNAcentral. Lineage: Archaea; Methanobacteriati; Methanobacteriota; Methanomicrobia; Methanosarcinales.